This 442-nucleotide ribosomal RNA is filed under the name uncultured bacterium. Its description in RNAcentral is "partial 16S ribosomal RNA". It matches the Rfam family "Bacterial small subunit ribosomal RNA", at positions 338 to 795 of the family's 1533-position model. The record is from RNAcentral.
CCUACGGGAGGCAGCAGUGGGGAAUAUUGGGCAAUGGACGCAAGUCUGACCCAGCACCGCCGCGUGAAGGAAGAAGGCUUUCGGGUUGUAAACUUCUUUUAAGGGGGCAGAGCAGAAGCCGGUACCCCUUGAAUAAGCCACGGCUAACUACGUGCCAGCAGCCCCGGUAAUACGUAGGGGGCAAGCGGUGUCCGGAUUUCCUGGGGGGAAAGGGGGUGCGGCCGGAGCGACAAGUCCGUGUUGAAAACCACGGGCGUAACCCGUGAACUGCAUUUGAAACUGUUUCCCUUGAGUUGCGGAGAGGGAAGCGGAAUGCCUUGUGUAGCGGUGAAAUGCGUAGAUAUAAGGAAGAACACCAGUGGCGAAGGCGGAUUACUGGACGAUAACUGACGCUGAGGCGCGAAAGCGUGGGGAGCAAACAGGAUUAGAUACCCUGGUAGUC